GCCGGCAGUGCAUCUUUCUGGACCACUUCGCCGCUCCUGUUUAUGCUGAAAGACCUCAGGAAUUGCUGCUUGAACUCUUCCAUGGCUUGGGCAAUAGCUUGCUUCUGCUCAUCCUUGAGGUUGGCCUCCGUCACGGGGAUGACGUUCUCUUGAUCGAGGUCAGAGAUCGACAUGUUGAUCUUGAUCUUGAAUCCUAUCCCACUGGGCGUGCCAAAAGAUGUGUUGAUGCAAAACGGAUCUGCAAACACAAAGGGCUAAUACCCGAUUCAAACGUUAAGGCGUGCCAGCCGAUUUGACCUUACUAUCGGCAAAGGUGAUAACUCGAAUACUUUAGUCCUGACAACAGCGAUGCGCCCGGAUGUCACGGCUAAGAGGUACUCACGC
This 384-nucleotide long non-coding RNA is filed under the name Sorghum bicolor (sorghum). Its description in RNAcentral is "long non-coding RNA (SBIC_LNC010885)". Lineage: Eukaryota; Viridiplantae; Streptophyta; Magnoliopsida; Poales; Poaceae. The record is from RNAcentral.